CCAUAUUGAACCUAGUGAUGUAUGGAUUAGUGGCGGACGGGUGAGUAACGCGUGGAUAACCUGCCGUAUACAGGGGGAUAACACUUAGAAAUAGGUGCUAAUACCGCAUAAGCGCACGGUUCCGCAUGGAACAGUGUGAAAAACUCCGGUGGUAUACGAUGGAUCCGCGUCUGAUUAGCCAGUUGGCGGGGUAACGGCCCACCAAAGCGACGAUCAGUAGCCGGCCUGAGAGGGUGAACGGCCACAUUGGGACUGAGACACGGCCCAAACUCCUACGGGAGGCAGCAGUGGGGAAUAUUGCACAAUGGGGGAAACCCUGAUGCAGCGACGCCGCGUGAGUGAAGAAGUAUCUCGGUACGUAAAGCUCUAUCAGCAGGGAAGAAAAUGACGGUACCUGACUAAGAAGCCCCGGCUAACUACGUGCCAGCAGCCGCGGUAAUACGUAGGGGGCAAGCGUUAUCCGGAUUUACUGGGUGUAAAGGGAGCGUAGACGGCAGCGCAAGUCUGGAGUGAAAUGCCGGGGCUCAACCCCGGAACUGCUUUGGAAACUGUGCAGCUCGAGUGCAGGAGAGGUAAGCGGAAUUCCUAGUGUAGCGGUGAAAUGCGUAGAUAUUAGGAGGAACACCAGUGGCGAAGGCGGCUUACUGGACUGUAACUGACGUUGAGGCUCGAAAGCGUGGGGAGCAAACAGGAUUAGAUACCCUGGUAGUCCACGCCGUAAACGAUGAUUACUAGGUGUCGGGGGGCCAAGGCCCUCCGGUGCCGCCGCAAACGCAUUAAGUAAUCCACCUGGGGAGUACGUUCGCAAG
Molecule: ribosomal RNA, 809 nt
Filed under: uncultured bacterium
Lineage: Bacteria
Description: bacterial SSU rRNA
Rfam family: Bacterial small subunit ribosomal RNA
Source: RNAcentral